GCCUGCAGUCAUGCCUCCUUGGGCAGGGAGCCCAUCAGAUUUUACAAGCCACGCAGGGUUAGGGUUGGUGAAAACGUGAAUGGGGAUGCCUAGAACAACAAUGGCAGCAGGCA
Molecule: ribosomal RNA, 113 nt
Organism: Dasypus novemcinctus (nine-banded armadillo)
Lineage: Eukaryota; Metazoa; Chordata; Mammalia; Cingulata; Dasypodidae
Source: Ensembl